GACAGUGUAGUGUAGUGGUUUGAACAUUGGACUGUUACUCUGGAGGCCAGGGUUCGAAUCCCAGCUUGGCCG
RNAcentral lists this transfer RNA (72 nucleotides) under Phrynosoma platyrhinos (Desert horned lizard). RNAcentral's name for it is "tRNA-OTHER". It matches the Rfam family "tRNA". Rfam says of the family: Transfer RNA (tRNA) molecules are approximately 80 nucleotides in length. The record is from RNAcentral. Lineage: Eukaryota; Metazoa; Chordata; Lepidosauria; Squamata; Phrynosomatidae.